UUUCCGUAGGUGAACCUGCGGAAGGAUCAUUGUCGCU
This 37-nucleotide ribosomal RNA is filed under the name Prioria copaifera. RNAcentral describes it as "partial 18S ribosomal RNA". The record is from RNAcentral. Lineage: Eukaryota; Viridiplantae; Streptophyta; Magnoliopsida; Fabales; Fabaceae.